Molecule: ribosomal RNA, 253 nt
Filed under: uncultured bacterium
Lineage: Bacteria
Description: partial 16S ribosomal RNA
Rfam family: Bacterial small subunit ribosomal RNA
Source: RNAcentral
UACGGAGGGUGCAAGCGUUAUCCGGAUUCACUGGGUUUAAAGGGUGCGUAGGUGGGUUGGUAAGUCAGUGGUGAAAUCCCCGAGCUUAACUUGGGAACUGCCAUUGAUACUAUCAGUCUUGAAUACUGUGGAGGUCAGCGGAAUAUGUCAUGUAGCGGUGAAAUGCGUAGAUAUCUGGAGGAACACCGGUGGCGAAGGCGGCAUUCUGGACCGAAACUGACGCUGAGGCGCGAAAGCCAGGGGAGCAAACGGG